UCGGUUGAUCCAUGUCAGUUCUUUAGCAGGCCGUCAGGUAGCUAUUGGUAGACAUUGAUCCCGGUCAAUUUUUCCGGUCGCUAGUGCAGCUACCUUGAAGCCAUUGAAGAGACGGUCAGUGAAGUAAAAGGAGUCAGCCAUGUUUAUCGAUGAAGUGCUGUUGGUCGGAAUGGCAGUCAUUGGGUUGAUGCUCGUCUUCGUUGGCAGAGUCGGUUAUUUCGUCUGGAAGGACUCCCGAGAAUACAAAUAAGGCAAGUUCUUCGGAUCCAGAGCACGCAAGGCACUUUUGGGCGACUUGGUCGCCCUUU
RNAcentral lists this unclassified non-coding RNA (308 nucleotides) under Azotobacter beijerinckii. RNAcentral's name for it is "Pseudomonas sRNA P20". The stretch from base 106 to 308 matches the Rfam family "PhrS". The record is from RNAcentral. Lineage: Bacteria; Pseudomonadati; Pseudomonadota; Gammaproteobacteria; Pseudomonadales; Pseudomonadaceae.